UAAUCUCAAAAUUGAAAUCAGUGUGCAACUAUAUGAAACUCCUACGGCCGGCAAAAUCAUCCGUACAUUAUACCGUAGUCAUUUUACAUAAGUGCUUCAAUUAUUGCUCACAAAGACAUGGAUUAAUUAACCAAAUCAUGAGUAAUAAAGCAUUGAAAGCAAAUCUAAGAGUACAUUGCAUAAUCAAAUGCGACUAGGAAGUAACAGUGGUGGUGGUAUGGGCAAGGACCCCAUAGCUCUAGCAACCUUUCUAAGUACAUGCUUCUGUACCUUCCCCGUUGAAGUCUUUGGC
This 292-nucleotide long non-coding RNA is filed under the name Trifolium pratense (red clover). RNAcentral's name for it is "long non-coding RNA (TPRA_LNC010417)". The record is from RNAcentral. Lineage: Eukaryota; Viridiplantae; Streptophyta; Magnoliopsida; Fabales; Fabaceae.